AGAGUUUGAUCCUGGCUCAGGACGAACGCUGGCGGCGUGCCUAACACAUGCAAGUCGAACGGGGUGAGGCCCUUCGGGACCUUUACCUAGUGGCGAACGGGUGAGUAACGCGUGAGGAACCUGCCUUUCAGUGGGGGACAACAGUUGGAAACGACUGCUAAUACCGCAUGAAGCUUUUGGGAGACAUCUCCUGGAAGCCAAAGCUUAAUGUGCUGAAAGAUGGCCUCGCGUCUGAUUAGCUAGUUGGUGGGGUAACGGCCCACCAAGGCGACGAUCAGUAGCCGGUCUGAGAGGAUGAACGGCCACAUUGGGACUGAGAUACGGCCCAGACUCCUACGGGAGGCAGCAGUGGGGAAUAUUGGGCAAUGGGCGAAAGCCUGACCCAGCAACGCCGCGUGAAGGAAGAAGGCCUUCGGGUUGUAAACUUCUUUUACCAGGGACGAAGGACGUGACGGUACCUGGAGAAAAAGCAACGGCUAACUACGUGCCAGCAGCCGCGGUAAUACGUAGGUUGCAAGCGUUGUCCGGAUUUACUGGGUGUAAAGGGCGUGUAGGCGGAGAUGCAAGUUAGGAGUGAAAUCUAUGGCUCAACCCAUAAACUGCUUCUAAAACUGUAUCCCUUGAGUAUCGGAGAGGCAAGCGGAAUUCCUAGUGUAGCGGUGAAAUGCGUAGAUAUUAGGAGGAACACCAGUGGCGAAGGCGGCUUGCUGGACGACAACUGACGCUGAGGCGCGAAAGCGUGGGGAGCAAACAGGAUUAGAUACCCUGGUAGUCCACGCUGUAAACGAUGAAUACUAGGUGUGGGGGGACUGACCCCCUCCGUGCCGCAGUUAACACAAUAAGUAUUCCACCUGGGGAGUACGACCGCAAGGUUGAAACUCAAAGGAAUUGACGGGGGCCCGCACAAGCAGUGGAUUAUGUGGUUUAAUUCGACGCAACGCGAAGAACCUUACCAGGACUUGACAUCCAACUAACGAAGUAGAGAUACAUCAGGUGCCCUUCGGGGAAAGUUGAGACAGGUGGUGCAUGGUUGUCGUCAGCUCGUGUCGUGAGAUGUUGGGUUAAGUCCCGCAACGAGCGCAACCCCUAUUGUUAGUUGCUACGAAAGAGCACUCUAGCGAGACUGCCGUUGACAAAACGGAGGAAGGCGGGGACGACGUCAAAUCAUCAUGCCCCUUAUGUCCUGGGCUACACACGUAAUACAAUGGUGGCCAACAGAGGGAAGCGAAGCCGUGAGGCAGAGCAAAUCCCUAAAAGCCAUCUCAGUUCGGAUUGCAGGCUGCAACUCGCCUGCAUGAAGCUGGAAUUGCUAGUAAUCGCGGAUCAGCAUGCCGCGGUGAAUACGUUCCCGGGCCUUGUACACACCGCCCGUCACACCAUGAGAGCCGGGAACACCCGAGGUCCGUAGUCUAACCGCAAGGGGGGCGCGGCCAAAGGUGGGUCCGGUAAUUGGGGUGAAGUCGUAACAAGGUA
This 1473-nucleotide ribosomal RNA is filed under the name metagenome. RNAcentral's name for it is "bacterial SSU rRNA". It matches the Rfam family "Bacterial small subunit ribosomal RNA". The record is from RNAcentral.